This 458-nucleotide ribosomal RNA is filed under the name uncultured bacterium. RNAcentral describes it as "partial 16S ribosomal RNA". It matches the Rfam family "Bacterial small subunit ribosomal RNA", at positions 338 to 795 of the family's 1533-position model. The record is from RNAcentral.
CCUACGGGGGGCAGCAGUGAGGAAUAUUGGGCAAUGGGCGGGAGCCUGAACCAGCCAAGCCGCGUGAGGGAAGAAGGUACAGCGUAUCGUAACCUCUUUUGUCAGGGAACAAAGGCGGGGACUAGUCCCCGGAUGAGGGUACCUGAAGAAAAAGCAUCGGCUAACGCGGUCCCAGCAGCCGCGGUAAUACGGAGGAUGCGGGCGUUAUCCGGAUUUAGGGGGGUUAAGGGGUGCGCAGGCGUCCUGUUAAGUCAGCGGUAAAAGCCCGGGGCUCAACCCCGGCGAGCCGUUGAAACUGGCGGGCUGGAGUUGGAGAGAAGUACGCGGAAUGCGCGGUGUAGCGGUGAAAUGCUUAGAUAUCGGGCAGAACCCCGAUGGCGAAGGCAGCGUACCGGCUCAACACUGACGCUGAGGCGCGAAAGCGUGGGUAUCGAACAGGAUUAGAUACCCCGGUAGUC